This 571-nucleotide ribosomal RNA is filed under the name uncultured Propionibacteriaceae bacterium. Its description in RNAcentral is "bacterial SSU rRNA". It matches the Rfam family "Bacterial small subunit ribosomal RNA", at positions 662 to 1230 of the family's 1533-position model. The record is from RNAcentral. Lineage: Bacteria; Bacillati; Actinomycetota; Actinomycetes; Propionibacteriales; Propionibacteriaceae.
UGGAAUUCCUGGUGGAGCGGUGGAAUGCGCAGAUAUCAGGAGGAACACCAGUGGCGAAGGCGGUUCUCUGGACCUUUCCUGACGCUGAGGAGCGAAAGCGUGGGGAGCGAACAGGCUUAGAUACCCUGGUAGUCCACGCUGUAAACGGUGGGUACUAGGUGUGGGGUCCAUUCCACAGAUUCUGUGCCGUAGCUAACGCAUUAAGUACCCCGCCUGGGGAGUACGGCCGCAAGGCUAAAACUCAAAGGAAUUGACGGGGCCCCGCACAAGCGGCGGAGCAUGCGGAUUAAUUCGAUGCAACGCGAAGAACCUUACCUGGGUUUGACAUGGAUCGGGAGCUUCCAGAGAUGGUUGUGCCUCUUUUGGGGUCGGUUCACAGGUGGUGCAUGGCUGUCGUCAGCUCGUGUCGUGAGAUGUUGGGUUAAGUCCCGCAACGAGCGCAACCCUCGUCCACUGUUGCCAGCAAUUCGGUUGGGGACUCAGUGGAGACCGCCGGGGUCAACUCGGAGGAAGGUGGGGAUGACGUCAAGUCAUCAUGCCCCUUAUGUCCAGGGCUUCACGCAUGCUACAA